This 261-nucleotide ribosomal RNA is filed under the name uncultured bacterium. Its description in RNAcentral is "partial 16S ribosomal RNA". It matches the Rfam family "Bacterial small subunit ribosomal RNA", at positions 527 to 787 of the family's 1533-position model. The record is from RNAcentral.
GAAAGGGGCYAGCGUUKUUCGGUUUUACUGGGCGUAAAGCGCRCGUAGGCGGCCUUGUAAGAUGGGGGUGAAAUCCCCGGGCUCAACCCGGGAACUGCCUUCAWGACUGCAAAGCUUGAGGAUGCGAGAGGUUAGCGGAAUUCCGAGUGUAGAGGUGAAAUUCGUAGAUAUUCGGAAGAACACCAGUGGCGAAGGCGGCUMACUGGCGCAUUUCUGACGCUGAGGUGCGAAAGCGUGGGGAGCAAACAGGAUUAGAUACCC